This is a non-coding RNA of Triticum aestivum (bread wheat), 125 nucleotides long. NCBI's taxonomy places the organism in Eukaryota, Viridiplantae, Streptophyta, Magnoliopsida, Poales, Poaceae. The record is from Rfam.
CAUGUACUCCCUCCGUCCGCAAAUAUUUGUCAUUGAAAUGGAUGUAUCUAAAUGUAUUUUAGUUGUAGAUACAUCUAUUUUCAUUUAUUUUGAUGACAAGUAUUUCCGGACGGAGGGAGUACUUA